RNAcentral lists this ribosomal RNA (68 nucleotides) under Escherichia coli. Its description in RNAcentral is "partial 16S ribosomal RNA". The stretch from base 1 to 55 matches the Rfam family "Bacterial small subunit ribosomal RNA", at positions 1479 to 1533 of the family's 1533-position model. RNAcentral also lists the same sequence under 3 other names. Lineage: Bacteria; Pseudomonadati; Pseudomonadota; Gammaproteobacteria; Enterobacterales; Enterobacteriaceae. The record is from RNAcentral.
GGUGAAGUCGUAACAAGGUAACCGUAGGGGAACCUGCGGUUGGAUCACCUCCUUACCUUAAAGAAGCG